CUGUUCUUUGCCAACUGGAACUCCCUACAGGCCAAAUCACAGCUCUCGCCUCUUCAAAGCUCUUCUAUAAUCCAUCUCCUUCAGGAAGCCUUCCCCCAUUAUUUUACAACACCCCCCCGGGCAUCAUCCUCAAAGCCACCUUCAUUUCUGUCCCCGGGACCUAUGAGCCAAUUACAGAAAAUGUCUGAUCUGUGGAAACGCUGCUCUCUUUUCAAUCCUGGAUCGUAUGUGAACGCUUGGAAAGCCGUAAGCGGGCGCGUCGCUGACACCAUAUCUAUCAAAAGACCCUCUUCCUAUUCCUCGAGUUAUUGAUGUGGUCUCGGGGGUGUAAGUUGUUUUAUUUGAAACGAGCCAAUUAUCUUCCAGGAAAGGAACUUCUCGUUCUGGGAAGACCGUGCUGAAUCGCGGGGUUUUGAUGGAGUUACAUCCAUCUGCCGAGAUUUAAUAUUAUUUCUGCUUGUUGUGCAAAUGGCAACCCACCUUAAAAGGGCCAGCGAUGCAAAACUUUCAUAACGGCAAAUUAGGGAGUUACGGAGGCUCUUUUCUUGCUCUUGGGACUUCAGAUCUUCGUUGAUUUUCAAAUUUUUCCCAGUAGGAAGCUAGUUUCUUCACUCCCCCAAACAAAUACACGCCUACCGCUUUUAGUUCCCUUUUCCUACGCGAUCUUUAACAAACUGGGUAAUGUGCAACUGACUCAAGCAGACUCUCAGACUCAACCUGGGCCACUUUUUGCAACACUAUUAUGUGCCUGUCUAGUAAAGGGACCUGGAUUUUCCUGGAGGGAAAGAAACUGAAAAAUUUAAAGCUGAUCUUGCCCUCCAGGUUUUAGGUUUAAAAGGCCUAUAAUUAGAAAGAGAAGUUCAAGGAAAAUUAAAAGUGUUUAUUUUUUUUUUCCUGGAAACAUUUUACUUUGUCCUAAAGCUGACAGGUUUUGUGGUGUUAUUUUGGUGUGCUGUUUUGGUGUGUAGCAGAAUGACACCAAAAAUAAGCCAGUAUUGGUAUGUGGAAGAAGGGAAUGAGUUCGCGAACAGUCUCUGGCCGGAAAAAACGUUUUUGAGCAGAGAAGGCUGAUGUAGGCCGCUUAAUUGAUCUCUGGGUUACAACCAUUUGAAAGAGGAGUCUAUUCUUCAUUUUUAGAGAUAAUGUUUGCAGUAGAACUGUUGGAAGAACAAUUCAAUCAGAUGAUCAAGAUUCAGCCGACUCUCAGUCUCUUUCUCUCAUGACCCUAUCUUUAAAUUAUAUAUCACAACUUUUAAUUAGAUGGUAUAAAAUUACCUAUCUAUAUUAAUGCCUGUCUCCCCUUCUAGACUGUAAGGUCCUUGUGUCUGCUAACUUUUCCAAGUGGUUAAUACAACGCUCUGCAAAUAGUAAGAGCUCGAUAAAUACCAUGAUUGAUUUUCAACUACCCUGAUUUUGGCUAAUUCCCGCAUUUCAUCAGCACCCUUGCUCGAGGACCGAUCUGGAGAAAGGAGGGGAGGUGAAAUUCACACCGGUUCAGAGUUCUAUUUGUUGGCAGCCCUGGCAAAAAGAGAGAUGGAAGGAAGGAAGGUUGGAAACCGAAAUAAACUUUUUUGAUUAUUUGUGGA
This is a long non-coding RNA of Ornithorhynchus anatinus (platypus), 1586 nucleotides long. RefSeq lists it as uncharacterized. The record is from RefSeq and is a predicted model, not a curated record. NCBI's taxonomy places the organism in Eukaryota, Metazoa, Chordata, Mammalia, Monotremata, Ornithorhynchidae. The transcript has 2 exons.